This is a long non-coding RNA of Scophthalmus maximus (turbot), 345 nucleotides long. RefSeq lists it as uncharacterized. The record is from RefSeq and is a predicted model, not a curated record. The transcript has 2 exons. NCBI's taxonomy places the organism in Eukaryota, Metazoa, Chordata, Actinopteri, Pleuronectiformes, Scophthalmidae.
GCCAGACGGCCGGCCCGUCAUCAGGGCUGUUUAUUAUCCAAGGAUCAUAGGGGCGAUGUGCCCUUAACUCUGAGCAGAAGGCGAGAGGGAGGAGGGAGAGGAAUGAACGGCGAGGAAGAAAUGAACAAGGAGAAGAGAGAACUGCUGCUUUCGACUGUCCAUGCAUCAUCACCAGCGAAGUGGCCUGCUCCGCCCACCACCACGGAUUUACUUCAACAUCGUGUAUUUUAGCAUGAACGAAAAUAGAAGCGCAAAGUUUCAAAGCAACUUUCAGUUUCACGGAAACUCAAACUCACCUUUUGAUUUAAACAAUAAAACGUCUAAUACAUUCCGAACAACUAAUAA